UCCUCAGCUAAUCAUUUAAAAAAAACACCAUAUACUUCAAAGAAUAAAAAGCUAAAAAUAUUAUUUUAAUAGAUUUUUUUAAAGACCCGAAGAAAACUUAUUUCAAAAUGCAACAACCCAGAUUUAAAUUUCUAUGGAUAGGUCAGAUAGCAGGCUGAAUAGCGGCUAGGAAAAUGAAUAAAUAAUUGAGAAUAUAGGAAAGAGACCAAAAACAGCCAUGGAAACGUGCAAAGAGAGGUUAAGAAAUAUGGAGUUUACAUAAGAUCUAACUAAAUAUGUUUAAUCUGAGACAUCAAAUCACAGAUUCAAAAAGCCAAAUGAAUUCCAAUUAUGGAACAUCAAGAUAAAUAGGACAUCCAAAUCUAGACACAUAAUAGCAUAAAAACAAGGAAUAAAUCCCGUUUUUUUACCCCCAAGAGUAAAAUCUUAAAAAUAACCAAAGAUUGUGCAGGAAAGGGACAUGGUGGGGAAUAGGUUAUGUUCAAAGGAGAAAAAGUAGACAGCUAAUUUUUAAAUAGUAAUUCUGAAAGACAAAGGGUAGUGGAAUGACAUUUUCUGUAUGAUCAAAAAAAAAAAAACAACUCACCUAGGACUCUCUAGAUGCAGUUAAAAUGUACAUCAAGAGUGAGAGGAAAUAAAGACAUUUUAAAACAGAGAUUGAUUACCAGGCCUGUAUCACUCAUGAAAAUUUUAAAACAUGUACAUAAACAAACAGAAGAAAAAUAGUCCCAGAUAGAAGUUCUGAGAUGCAAUAGGGAAAAAGAAAAUUAAACAUGCAGAUCACUUUAAAUGAACAUUGACAAUACAUUAUAAAAAUUACAAAAAUGUCAGGACACCUGGGUGGCCCAGUGGUUGAGCAUCUUCCUUCAGCUCAGGGUAUGAUCCCAGGAAUUGUGGGAUCAAGUCCCACAUCCAGCUUUUGGCAGGGAGCCUGCUUCUUCCUCUGCUUAUGUCUCUGCCUCCCUCUCUGUGUCCCUCCUGAAUAAAUAAAAUCUUAGGGAAAAAAAGGUUGCAAAGAUAUCAUGUAUUUUUUAGAGAUACAAGACAGUUAAAACAAAGCAACGAUACACAUAAGUUUGGAGACAUGUAAGUUGAGUUAAAAUAUUCAAAAUUCCUUGCAUUAUCAUUAUCCAUGAAUAGAGAGGAAAAAAAUCCUCACCAAGAUAUUAGCAGAUCAUGAGUAACACUGUAUUAAACAAAUGAAAUUACAACUAAAUUCAGUUUACCUGAGGAAUGCAAGUUUGGUUUAACAUGAGCAAAUAUAAUUCACCACAUUGACACAUUUUUUAAAAAUUAUCUCAAUAUAUGCAAAAUAAACAUUAUUAUUAUUCAACAUUCACUCAUGAUAAAACAGAAAAAACUAGUAUUAUAAGAAAACUUUUUCAAUAUAAUUGUAAUGUAAAGAUCCUAGGUGGCCCCAUAAUAAAUGCCCUUUGGUGUUCUCACCUUUUCUAAGUGUAGGCAAGAUCUGUGAUUUGAUUCUAGCCAUUACAACAUGGCGAAUGUAAAGGAAUUUUACAGAUAUAAUUCAGUUAAAUUUGAGUUAAUCUACUUAUUCUAAGUAAGCCUGAUUUAAUCAGGUGAAAUCCUGAUCCUUAAAAGAGGACUGAGGCUUCUGUGCAGUGAAAUCCUCCUUUUUAGCUUCAUGAAGCAAGCAGUCAUAGUGAGGAAGCCUACAUGGCCAAGAACAAGGAACAGCCUUGCUCUAGACUGAAUAUUUCUGUACCCGCACUCCCAAACUCAUUGCUGUGCCUAAGAUUGCGAAUCCGAGAAAACCACCAAGGAGCCGACACCGAUGCAAGUACAUGAGGGUUUAUUAACAAGCUCGAGCUUGGGUCCAAGUAUACCCGACACAGUGGAGCAGGGACUUGGACCCCGGGAUGAGUUACAGCUGGGUAUUAUUAGCAAGCUCGAGCUUGGGUCCAUGUAUACCCAACACAGCAGACCAGGGACUUGGACCCUGAGGUGAGUUACAGCUGGGUUUUUAUGGGCUGGUCUAGGGGUAAGGUGGGGUUUUUCAGUAAGGAUGGGGGUGUGAGAAUCUCAAGUAAAGAGGUCUCACAAGCUCUUGCUUCCUUAUUCCGAUAAGGAAUAAGCCGGGUUAGGGUAGAGUUCAGUUCAGUUCCUGGUCACAGUGGCCUGAGAUGGCUGCUGAAGCUACAAUGGCUGUACUUGUGCCAAUGUUAAACUUGAAUGGCCCGAAUUUUCUUGGCCUCCACACUCAUGACUUAAGUCUUAGUGUUCAAUGUGAUACUAUUUGGAGGUGGUGGCCUUGGUAAGUGAUUAAGUCAUGAAGGUGGAGCUCUCAUGAUUGAGAUUAGUGCCCUUAUAAAGGAGGCUGGAGGGAGCUCCCUUGGCCCUGUGCCUUAUGAAGACACAGGAGGAAGAUAGGCACUCAUGAACCAGGCCCUAACUGGACACUGAAUCUGCCAGUGCCUUGACUUUGGACUUCCCAGACUCCAGAACUAUGAGAAACAGUAAGACGGUUUAUCAAGAUAGCUGAUGCUAAGCUCAAUAUGCAA
Molecule: long non-coding RNA, 2522 nt
Filed under: Canis lupus familiaris (dog)
Lineage: Eukaryota; Metazoa; Chordata; Mammalia; Carnivora; Canidae
Description: lncRNA (ENSCAFG00845026121.1)
Source: RNAcentral